This 496-nucleotide ribosomal RNA is filed under the name uncultured bacterium. RNAcentral describes it as "partial 16S ribosomal RNA". It matches the Rfam family "Bacterial small subunit ribosomal RNA", at positions 28 to 506 of the family's 1533-position model. The record is from RNAcentral.
GAUGAACGCUGGCGGCGUGCCUAAUACAUGCAAGUCGAGCGAACAGAUGAGGAGCUUGCUCCUCUGACGUUAGCGGCGGACGGGUGAGUAACACGUGGAUAACCUACCUAUAAGACUGGGAUAACUUCGGGAAACCGGAGCUAAUACCGGAUAAUAUAUUGAACCGCAUGGUUCAAUAGUGAAAGACGGUUUUGCUGUCACUUAUAGAUGGAUCCGCGCCGCAUUAGCUAGUUGGUAAGGUAACGGCUUACCAAGGCAACGAUGCGUAGCCGACCUGAGAGGGGGAUGGGCCAACCGGGAACUGAGACCCGGCCCAGAACCCCAGGGGGGGCAGCGGGGGGGAAUCUUCCGAAAGGGGGGAAAGCCUGGAGGGGCAACGCCGGGGGAGUGAUGAAGGUCUUCGGUUGGUAAAACUCUUUUAUUAGGGAAAAAAAAAUGGGAAAGUAACUAUGCCGGUUUGGACGGUACCAAAUAAAAAAGCCGCGGCAAACUACGU